GGACCAUCCUCCAAGGCUAAAUACUCCUGACUGACCGAUAGUGAACCAGUACCGUGAGGGAAAGGCGAAAAGAACCCCGGCGAGGGGAGUGAAAAAGAACCUGAAACCGUGUACGUACAAGCAGUGGGAGCACGCUUAGGCGUGUGACUGCGUACCUUUUGUAUAAUGGGUCAGCGACUUAUAUUCUGUAGCAAGGUUAACCGAAUAGGGGAGCCGAAGGGAAACCGAGUCUUAACUGGGCGUUAAGUUGCAGGGUAUAGACCCGAAACCCGGUGAUCUAGCCAUGGGCAGGUUGAAGGUUGGGUAACACUAACUGGAGGACCGAACCGACUAAUGUUGAAAAAUUAGCGGAUGACUUGUGGCUGGGGGUGAAAGGCCAAUCAAACCGGGAGAUAGCUGGUUCUCCCCGAAAGCUAUUUAGGUAGCGCCUCGUGAAUUCAUCUCCGGGGGUAGAGCACUGUUUCGGCAAGGGGGUCAUCCCGACUUACCAACCCGAUGCAAACUGCGAAUACCGGAGAAUGUUAUUACGGGAGACACACGGCGGGUGCUAACGUCCGUCGUGAAGAGGGAAACAACCCAGACCGCCAGCUAAGGUCCCAAAGUCAUGGUUAAGUGGGAAACGAUGUGGGAAGGCCCAGACAGCCAGGAUGUUGGCUUAGAAGCAGCCAUCAUUUAAAGAAAGCGUAAUAGCUCACUGGUCGAGUCGGCCUGCGCGGAAGAUGUAACGGGGCUAAACCAUGCACCGAAGCUGCGGCAGCGACGCUUAUGCGUUGUUGGGUAGGGGAGCGUUCUGUAAGCCUGUGAAGGUGUGCUGUGAGGUAUGCUGGAGGUAUCAGAAGUGCGAAUGCUGACAUAAGUAACGAUAAAGCGGGUGAAAAGCCCGCUCGCCGGAAGACCAAGGGUUCCUGUCCAACGUUAAUCGGGGCAGGGUGAGUCGACCCCUAAGGCGAGGCCGAAAGGCGUAGUCGAUGGGAAACAGGUUAAUAUUCCUGUACUUGGUGUUACUGCGAAGGGGGGACGGAGAAGGCUAUGUUGGCCGGGCGACGGUUGUCCCGGUUUAAGCGUGUAGGCUGGUUUUCCAGGCAAAUCCGGAAAAUCAAGGCCGAGGCGUGAUGACGAGGCACUACGGUGCUGAAGCAACAAAUGCCCUGCUUCCAGGAAAAGCCUCUAAGCAUCAGGUAACAUCAAAUCGUACCCCAAACCGACACAGGUGGUCAGGUAGAGAAUACCAAGGCGCUUGAGAGAACUCGGGUGAAGGAACUAGGCAAAAUGGUGCCGUAACUUCGGGAGAAGGCACGCUGAUACGUAGGUGAAGCGACUUGCUCGUGGAGCUGAAAUCAGUCGAAGAUACCAGCUGGCUGCAACUGUUUAUUAAAAACACAGCACUGUGCAAACACGAAAGUGGACGUAUACGGUGUGACGCCUGCCCGGUGCCGGAAGGUUAAUUGAUGGGGUUAGCGCAAGCGAAGCUCUUGAUCGAAGCCCCGGUAAACGGCGGCCGUAACUAUAACGGUCCUAAGGUAGCGAAAUUCCUUGUCGGGUAAGUUCCGACCUGCACGAAUGGCGUAAUGAUGGCCAGGCUGUCUCCACCCGAGACUCAGUGAAAUUGAACUCGCUGUGAAGAUGCAGUGUACCCGCGGCAAGACGGAAAGACCCCGUGAACCUUUACUAUAGCUUGACACUGAACAUUGAGCCUUGAUGUGUAGGAUAGGUGGGAGGCUUUGAAGUGUGGACGCCAGUCUGCAUGGAGCCGACCUUGAAAUACCACCCUUUAAUGUUUGAUGUUCUAACGUGGACCCGUGAUCCGGGUUGCGGACAGUGUCUGGUGGGUAGUUUGACUGGGGCGGUCUCCUCCUAAAGAGUAACGGAGGAGCACGAAGGUUGGCUAAUCCUGGUCGGACAUCAGGAGGUUAGUGCAAUGGCAUAAGCCAGCUUGACUGCGAGCGUGACGGCGCGAGCAGGUGCGAAAGCAGGUCAUAGUGAUCCGGUGGUUCUGAAUGGAAGGGCCAUCGCUCAACGGAUAAAAGGUACUCCGGGGAUAACAGGCUGAUACCGCCCAAGAGUUCAUAUCGACGGCGGUGUUUGGCACCUCGAUGUCGGCUCAUCACAUCCUGGGGCUGAAGUAGGUCCCAAGGGUAUGGCUGUUCGCCAUUUAAAGUGGUACGCGAGCUGGGUUUAGAACGUCGUGAGACAGUUCGGUCCCUAUCUGCCGUGGGCGCUGGAGAACUGAGGGGGGCUGCUCCUAGUACGAGAGGACCGGAGUGGACGCAUCACUGGUGUUCGGGUUGUCAUGCCAAUGGCACUGCCCGGUAGCUAAAUGCGGAAGAGAUAAGUGCUGAAAGCAUCUAAGCACGAAACUUGCCCCGAGAUGAGUUCUCCCUGACCCUUUAAGGGUCCUGAAGGAACGUUGAAGACGACGACGUUGAUAGGCCGGGUGUGUAAGCGCAGCGAUGCGUUGAGCUAACCGGUACUAAUGAACCGUGAGGCUUAACCUUACAACGCCGAAG
This 2507-nucleotide ribosomal RNA is filed under the name Shigella flexneri. Its description in RNAcentral is "partial 23S ribosomal RNA". It matches the Rfam family "Bacterial large subunit ribosomal RNA", at positions 450 to 2925 of the family's 2925-position model. Lineage: Bacteria; Pseudomonadati; Pseudomonadota; Gammaproteobacteria; Enterobacterales; Enterobacteriaceae. The record is from RNAcentral.